RNAcentral lists this ribosomal RNA (115 nucleotides) under Lentisphaerota bacterium. Lineage: Bacteria; Pseudomonadati; Lentisphaerota. The record is from RNAcentral.
UCCGGUGUUUAUAGCGGUCUUGAAACACACGUUCCCAUCCCGAACACGAUUGUUAAGAGGACCCGCGACGAUGAUACUGCACAUCAGAGUGUGGGAAAGUAGUUCGACGCCGGAU